Molecule: ribosomal RNA, 253 nt
Filed under: uncultured bacterium
Lineage: Bacteria
Description: partial 16S ribosomal RNA
Rfam family: Bacterial small subunit ribosomal RNA
Source: RNAcentral
UACGGAGGGAGCUAGCGUUGUUCGGAAUUACUGGGCGUAAAGCGCACGUAGGCGGCUUUGUAAGUUAGAGGUGAAAGCCCGGGGCUCAACUCCGGAACUGCCUUUAAGACUGCAUCGCUUGAAUCCGGGAGAGGUGAGUGGAAUUCCGAGUGUAGAGGUGAAAUUCGUAGAUAUUCGGAAGAACACCAGUGGCGAAGGCGACUUACUGGACACAUAUUGACGCUGAGGUGCGAAAGCGUGGGGAGCAAACAGG